This is a long non-coding RNA of Bacillus rossius redtenbacheri, 5485 nucleotides long. RefSeq lists it as uncharacterized. The transcript is spliced from 2 exons. The record is from RefSeq and is a predicted model, not a curated record. Lineage: Eukaryota; Metazoa; Arthropoda; Insecta; Phasmatodea; Bacillidae.
AGAUUUUUUUUGUGAUUUCCACUCGGAGAACUUCAACCUUUCGGUCCGGACGCCAAAGUAUCCCCCCACCUUUUGAAUGAGUUUUUCCUUUUAAUUAAGAGACACAGCCCUUCCGGGGACACUUCGCGUCGCGAUUCCAGACAGUCUUCAUUAGAUUAUCUGCGGAUCAGCGAGACGCACAUCAAGACUUCUGUUCGGCCAUAACCGAAGAUGUAGUCAAUUAGACAAGGGAUGCUAUCCCUAUAAGUUCUUUUAAGUAGUUUAGUCUAUCUGUACACAGCAUACUUAGUAGUUAUUUUUUUAAAUAUUUUUACAUUAUGGAAACACCCGCGACUCCCGCGAUCUUCAGAACCGGACGUGCUACGCUUCGGGCUCUAGAAGCUACCUUUCCUGUCUGACAGGUCCAAGAGCCGGAUGCGGAGCCGCACACUCCCUCUCCAACAAACAGGCGCCCUGACGCCAUGUUGACUGCUGGACUCCGGCCAGCGAGCAUGACCUCCGGUCCUACUAUAUUUAUGAACCUUUGAAAUAUCAUUUAAAUUACUACGUUUGAAGAGAUUAGAACUAUAUACAACUUUCGUUCUGGACUUUAAGAACUUACAUUGUGAUUGUGCCUCUUCGUAUUUUUUAUAAAAUUAAUUUGUUUUUUAUAUUAAAUGAAACCUCUAAUAAUCUGAUUAGGGCCGGCCCAUAUUUUUUAACAUAUCCGAGAGCUCUUUUAAUUAUGUAAAUGAAAUUGUAUUUCAACACAUUUUAAUAUCUGUUAUACAUUUGUCUCUCAGUCGACUGUUAUAAGUUUCAUCAUUUAAAUUAAUAUAGAGUAAUUAUAUUCAGACGGAAUCACACCUUGUUUCUGUUCAUUCCUCAUGUCCUUGUGAUACUAAAAGGUCCACUGUUACAGCAGUGUGCAAGGUCAAUAGCAGUAUUUAUGUACUUAAUCUUAUUUACCUACACUGCCGCAACGUAACAAAACUGGUAGCAUUUAGCGUGAUUAACUUUCCAUCGGCUUUGGUAUGAUUUAUGAGCAAUGCUGUAACACUAGCACAAACCCCCUCAUCCGACUCAUCGCCGAUCCUCCCCACCCUAGACGCCCCCUCUUCACGACCGACCUCCAGGAAGAGGCCUUUGCAGACGAAGAUGACGCCGCCGCCGGAGGGGCCGGCGGAUAACGCCGGGGACCAGCACUGCGGGACUGAGGACGCCACGAUGCCCCCCAUCACCACUAGACCACCCCAACGCACUCACCGAUCUGGACACAGACCGGCGGAGGCAGGCCUAGGCCAAAGGGCCUGCUCACACCCACCACCCACACAUCACCAUCACACCACGCAGAUCAUCGGCCCCCUAGGACCUGGUCGUCGGGAGGGGUCUCGCCCAGUGAAUAUUGUAUAUAUUAUAUUGUAUUUUUCUUUGUAAUUAAAAAAUGUACUCAUCAAGUGUUACCACCCAUGUUAUGUACCUUUGCAGACUCAAAGUUUAGCGUAUUUUUAGCAUAGUGGACCCCCUGGGGGGGUCCCCCUUUAAAAAAAAAAUAUAUGAAAUAUAGUUGAAAUUUUAUUGCGAUGAUUUAUACAAAACUUUGGUUAAAAAUCCAUCUGUUUUUGCUGUUUUGGCUCAGGUGUUGAUCUACAUAGAACACCACUUCGACCAACAGGCAGUACAUCGUCCAACUCUUCUUCUAUAUUGAAUUCAACCUCUGGUGCUUCACCACAGUACUCGAAUCCACAGUGAAUACAUACAAUUAGUGAACCUGGUAUCAGGCCUAUCCGGCCUAAAGCACCAUUCAAGAGACAGCUCAAGGAAUAAAAGAAACACAAAUUUUGGAAACGGUUUAUUCUCGUACCUUGCUAUCUACGACAACACUUUUCAAUAACUAUUUACACACGUCACACACACGUAGGAACAAAGAUACAAGAAAUAUUACAUUCAAAACAGGAUGAAGUUUACUCAAUGCCAAACAGGUGAUAGAAGUCAAAGAAACUGUACAGCCAUGCAGUGCACAGACCAGCACGUGAACACACAGUGUAAGUUACGUCAUAUUCUUUUGUAGUACAUAAUAUUUUACUUACUAAACAAGCAACUAAAAUUCUAAAACUAUUAAAAUUACAAAAUUGCCCAGAACUGAGGGCAUUGACACUCCAACGAGUUGGCACACAACACUUAGUAGUCUGAAGCUUCGGUGAGACGAGUUUUUUCAAAAAUAGGCCUACAACACGCUCUCGUGGUCUCGUGAAAGUUAACCCAUUCACUGCAAGCUACCGGGCAGACUACCAGCAACCAACCCGUGUGGGAGACAACGUCUGUAUGGGGGCUCCUUGUGGAGACUGCUAGCGACACUUUCAGUGACAGUUCUGAGCAACGUGAUUGGCUUUUCGUUAGUCUGAGAAAAACUUGCUGUAAACUCACUACAGUUCAUAAGACUACUUUUGGAACAAUAGCUGAGAUGAUGCAUUUUUUUAAAUUUUUAUUUUUAUUUUGUUAUUUGAGGUUUGUUAUGUUCACAGGAAAUUCUUUGGAAUACAUCAAGCAAAAAUAUUCCACUGGAUAUGUUUGAACAUAAUGUUACAAUCAGAAAAAUUUAUGCACAAAUGAUAAACAUAAGUUUUUGACAAAAUGAAAUUCAUAGAAAACAAAAAAAAAAAUAAAGUAAAAACCAAUAGUACUUCUUUUACGAUAUGUUUUGUUAAUGGUGUAAAGUAUAGGGUAAAUACUUCCCUGAACAAAGAAAAACUUACAAACUCAUGGCCCAUAAAAAUAUAACUAUGGCAAAAAUUCUUUCAAAAAAAUGCUCCUAUCUUAUGUAUCUUUGUUCAGUGGCGAAAGAAGGACUCGUAACGAAGACAGCCGUCUGUGGAUGCUAGCACAGGGCAAGGAUUCAAGCAACAUGUCAAACACAAACGGUACACAAUACUAGAUAAAUAAGAUAAAAUACACACAAAACAUGCUACAACAAAUAUCAUCACAGUGAUAAUGUCCUUCCAAGUAUCUGAUCUUCUGUCUGGUUAUAAACUCAAACUCUACACAACAUUUAUCAAGGCAAAGUGUUAUACGUAACAAAAUUUAUGAGCAAUAGAAACAUUCCACCCACCUUAAAAUUAAAGAAGAUAUUAAAAAAAAAUUAAAAAUCAUUGUAAAAUUUAAAGAUUGGUUAAAACAAAUUACAAAUUUUUUUAGUUAUAUUUUUUUGCUUAUAAGUGUUUCCUGUUUAUCAAGUUACCUUUGUUCAAAACAUGUAAACCAUUCAAUAUUGUUUCACUGAAAUUUAAUUUGAAAAACUAGAAAUAACAGCUAUACUGAAAAAAGUAGUGACUAAACGCUGUUAUGAAAACUGUAUUGUUCUGAACAGGACUACGUAGUUAUGUAUAUGCCUCACGUAAUGCCAUACCUACAGCGCUUGCAAAACUAAAUAGUAAAAUAGCGACAUGUGUAAAAUAUCUCGCACGUGAGUAAGAGGGAAGAAUGUAUAGUAAAACUUAAAUUAGCAAAAAUCAAACAACAAAAUGUUUUUAUUUAAGCUAAAUUAAAAAAAAAAUAUAUUAAAAAAAAAAAAUUGCUUGAUACUUUUAGCAACCCCUUGAGAAAAUGCCCCUUACACAGUUCAUUAAUUACAAUGAUCUUUGAACUUUGCACUACAGCAAACAAAACUAUAUUUAAUACAGAUUAAGUAAUAUUAAAGAAAUCCUUGAAUUAUUUUUAAAAAUACGUUCUCUUGCGAACAACCCUUCAGACAGCACAGCACAAGGCCAGACCCUGCCCUUCGGACAAGUACAACCAUCCAAUGACGGUCACAGAUUAAUUCUUAGUAUUUCCUGACUAACGCCUGCUUCACACACAAGUGGAAAAUGCUACAGCAGAAAUGUUACACAAAGGAAAUUCACACCUUACUCUUAUUUAUCAAUGAAAUCCUGGGAUUUCCAACCAGUGAAGUGGAGAGCAAGAGAAAGUUAAUAAGCAGGAUACAAUAAAAUGGCUUCACUGCAUCAGUAAAAUCAUUCAAGGUGUGUAUAGUUUAGUUUAUCUUUUGAGUUCAUUUUUUUAGGUGGAUAACAUAUUGGGCUGUUUGCACUUCCCGCUGUGAGUUCAGUGUUUGGACUCGGUUCACACAGGUUCGAACCGAGCUCUGACCGUCCGUAAAGACGUCUACUCGGCAUGUCUGCUCACGGGUGAAUGUCUCCCGGACCAAAAAAACCCACGGCAAACCCUGGUUGGUACGUCAACUGGCCUGAUGUUCUUGUUUGCGCCCACGGGACCAGGGCUGGCAACCCUCUGUCUCACGCACAGAGCACGUCAUUCGAUUCCUUACACGGAGUGAAUCAAAAGUAAUUUGAUUUUGUACUCUAAUAAAUACGUAUUGAAUAUCAAAACUCAAAAAUAUUUUAUGACAACGUUUGCAUUAAAAAAAGAGAUCGUACUAUUGCAUUGUGACUUAUAAAAAAACUUUUCUCCUAAAACUGAAACUAAAUUGUUAAAAAAUUUCAAAUAUAGCAAUAUUUUAACACAAUGGAAGCAAGGGUAUUUUUAUGAUCAUACUUCAAAAAUAACAUAUUUUAAUGUGAAAAUAAAAUACAACUUUUUCUAACCAAGUAUUUGUAUUUACCAUAACAGGACCAUUUCUGAAAAGUAUACUGAUCUGAGAUUUUAACUUAUAACAACUUCAAAGUAUGAAGUAUGAAAAAUAAUGCAUGGUUCCUGGAAUUAAGUUUGCAAAUGCAUGCAUGAUCACAAGUAACAUACACUGAACAUGCAUGCACAAAACUAGUUUUGCUACUCUCACUACCACUUUUAGUCUUGCGAAACUUAUUUAUGCUCCCACGAAUGUACAAAAUCCACUCAAAAAAAUUAACCUCACACUGAGGCCAAGCCAUCAGAUAACUCUACAGAUAGCUGUUAAACUGUUUCGUCACGUCGUACGUUACAAUUCGGCCGUCAAGCUUUGUUUCACCUCUAAAGUUUAAAAUAAAAUAUUGUACAGUUUAAAAAUGAACCUUGCUUGUAAUAAAUAACUACGCCCCAGGAAAUAAACGCUGCUUCUGAAGCAGAUCAGCUUCGGGAAUCACAGAAGAAUCGCCCGCCCGCGCUGCUCGUCUGCGCCGGCCAGCCACACGGCCCGUGGUCCCCGAGGCCACGGCACGGCGAACAAUGUCCUCGACCACCGGGCUUGCUCACGGAACAGGAUGUGUCUCUACACAAGACGACGGCGCGGGCACAGCACAGUUGUGUCCACUUCACGACAGCAGUGCUGUCGUGACACCACACUUGAUCACGGUGUCACGGGAGCUGUGGCAUCAUAACUCCGAGUGCGGCCGGUGGUCACCUGCGAGUCGAAAAACAAUCCUUACCGAGUGUGUGUGAGAGCAACAUUUCAUUGUUUUAUUUUCACAUCAAUUUUAGUUUUAAAAUUACAAAUUGUUAAAAAUGAGAUACACAACUAUCAUGGAGAACAUUUUAUUUGGAUUGAUUUUAAAAAAAAAUAAAAAAAUAAAAA